This 1533-nucleotide long non-coding RNA is filed under the name Mustela putorius furo (domestic ferret). RNAcentral's name for it is "lncRNA (ENSMPUG00000025189.1)". Lineage: Eukaryota; Metazoa; Chordata; Mammalia; Carnivora; Mustelidae. The record is from RNAcentral.
UUUCAAAUUAUUAAGCAGGCUAUUCAGAAGUACUGAAACAUUCAUUUUUCAUUGCAGAUUGUUGACUAGAAGCCAGAGACAGCUGUCUUCCUGUGAUGCCCCAUGGUGACGCCCACAGGAACUUUCUCCCUUUGGUAUUCAACCCACUAGAAGGUGUGAAAGGAUAUGCAUCAUUUAGAAGCCCUGACAUCUAGGAUUUGACUGAAGAAUUUUAUGCACAGAAACCUAUGGAUUCUGGAAGGUACAAGUCAAGGAGAUAAACCAAACAGAUAUGAGAAAGGAAUUAAAAGUUUUAAAAGGGAAGACAAAAUUACCUACAUUUUCCAUUACUAUAAUUAUAAAACUGGGAAAUCCAAGAGGAUCUAUUGGAAAAACUACCAAAAACUAAGAAGAAAAUUCUAUAAAUAGUAAGUAUAAAAUUCACAUUUAGAAAUGAAUAGAUGUCAUAUAUAUGAAGAUGAUUUGAAUUUUUAAAAAGGCAUAGCAUGUUCUUAAAUAAGACGAUUCAGCAUCAUAAAGAUGUUAAUCCUCCCUAUGUUAAUUUAUAAGUCUGACACUACCAUUAAUAAAAUGCAAGGGAUUUUUUUUAACUGAAUAAGCUGAUUCUAAAUUUCAAUUUAGAAAUGCAAAUAAUCAUUCAGGAAGUUCCACAGAAAUUCUGGAAAAGAAGAGAGUAAGUGAUCAUUUGUUCGAUCAGAUAUUAAACAUUAUAAACCCUCAGUUUUUUAUUUUUUUAAAAGAUUUUAUUUAUUUAUUUGACAGAGAGACACAGAAAGAGGGAACACAAGCAGGGGGACUAGGAAAGAGAAAGCAGGCUUCCUGCCAAGGAGGGAGCCCUAUGGAGGGCUCAAUCCCAGGACAUUGGGAUCGUGACUGAGCCAAAGGCAGACGCUUAACCACUGAGACACCCAGGUGUCCCCGCCUCAGUUUUCUAAAAGUAUAUACUAGCUCCUCCCUCAGACCAGGAUCCCUGAAGGCAGAACUGUGUCUCCUCCCUCAGACUGGGCUUCCCGAAGCAGGGCUGUGUCUCCCUCUCAGACUGGAACUUCCUGAGGGCAGGACCCAUUCAGAAUGGGGCUCCCUGAGGACAGGGCUAUAUUUCCCCUCAGACUGGGGCUGCCUGAGGGUAGAACUGUGUCUCCCCCCUCAGACUGGGGCUCCCUAAGGACAGGAUUAUAAAUCCCCUCAGACUGGAGCCCCCUGAGAAUCAGCUUUUUCCUCAGAUUAGAGAUCUUCUAAGGUAUAGGGCUAUUUCUGUCCCUUGGUCUGGUCUUCCCCAGGGCAGAGGGUGAAGGGCUCCUAUUUCAUGACUCUGUUCCCUUUUCUCUCUUUCUUUCCCACAAUUCCCAGGGUGUAUGGCCCCAGGAGGGCUUUGGCCCAAAUGUACGCCCUCGGGUGAGCUCUGUCCAUUAGCACCACUAAAAGUGCCUUUACCCUACCUUUACUGAGUAAGCUUACUGAGUGGCAGCACUGGCCAGUGGGACCACAUUAUGACUUUUCUGGGCCAUAAACACUUUUGCCUUUGUGGGCCCC